AGUGAACGCUGGCGGUAGGCCUAACACAUGCAAGUCGAACGGCAGCACAGUAAGAGCUUGCUCUGACGGGUGGCGAGUGGGGGACGGGUGAGGAAAACAUCGGAAUCUACUCUUUCGGGGGGGAUAACGUAGGGAAACUUACGAUAAUACCGCAUACGCCCUACGGGGGAAAGCAGGGGAACGUCGGACCGUGCGCGAUUGAAUGAGCCGAUGUUGGAUUAGCUAGUUGGCGGGGUUAAGGCCAAGCAAGGCGGGGAUACGUAGCUGGUCUGAGAGGAUGGUCGGCCACACUGGAACUUGGACACCCUCCAUACUCCUGCGGGACGCCGCAGUGGGCUAUAGUGGACAGCGGGCGCAAACCUGAUCCAGUCGUACCGCGUCUGUUGAGGAGGCCUUCCGUUUGUAAAGCCCUUUUGUUGGUAAAGAAAAGCAGCCGGUUAAGACCCCGCUGUUCUGACGGUACCCAGAGAAUAAGCACCGGCUAACUUCGUG
RNAcentral lists this ribosomal RNA (492 nucleotides) under uncultured bacterium. Its description in RNAcentral is "partial 16S ribosomal RNA". It matches the Rfam family "Bacterial small subunit ribosomal RNA", at positions 29 to 507 of the family's 1533-position model. The record is from RNAcentral.